Molecule: ribosomal RNA, 460 nt
Filed under: uncultured bacterium
Lineage: Bacteria
Description: partial 16S ribosomal RNA
Rfam family: Bacterial small subunit ribosomal RNA
Source: RNAcentral
CCUACGGGUGGCAGCAGUGAGGAAUAUUGGUCAAUGGACGAGAGUCUGAACCAGCCAAGUAGCGUGAAGGAUGACUGCCCUAUGGGUUGUAAACUUCUUUUAUAAAGGAAUAAAACGAGGCACGUGUGCCUGUUUGCAUGUACUUUAUGAAUAAGGAUCGGCUAACUCCGUGCCAGCAGCCGCGGUAAUACGGAGGAUCCGAGCGUUAUCCGGAUUUAUUGGGUUUAAAGGGAGCGUAGAUGGGUUGUUAAGUUAGUUGUGAAAGUUUGCGGCUCAACGGUAAAAUUGCAAUUGAUACUGGCAGUCUUGAGUGCAGUUGAGGUAGGCGGAAUUCAUGGUGUAGCGGUGAAAUGCUUAGAGAUCACACAGAACCCCGAUUGCGAAGGCAGCUUACUAAGCUAUGACUGACAUUGAUGCUCGAAAGUGUGGGUAUCAAACAGGAUUAGAUACCCCAGUAGUC